RNAcentral lists this ribosomal RNA (484 nucleotides) under uncultured bacterium. Its description in RNAcentral is "partial 16S ribosomal RNA". It matches the Rfam family "Bacterial small subunit ribosomal RNA", at positions 29 to 507 of the family's 1533-position model. The record is from RNAcentral.
AUUGAACGCUGGCGGCAUGCUUUACACAUGCAAGUCGAACGGCAGCGCGGGCUUCGGCCUGGCGGCGAGUGGCGAACGGGUGAGUAAUACAUCAGAACGUGCCCAGUAGUGGGGGAUAGCUCGGCGAAAGCCGGAUUAAUACCGCAUACGACCUGAGGGUGAAAGCGGGGGAUCUUCGGACCUCGCGCUAUUGGAGCGGCCGAUGGCAGAUUAGCGAGUUGGUGGGGUAAAGGCCUACGAAGGCGACGAUCUGUAGCUGGUCUGAGAGGACGGCCAGCCACACUAGGACUGAGACACGGGCCAUAGUCCUUCGGGAGGCAGCAGAGGGGAAGUUUCGACAGUAGGCGGAAGCCUGAUUCAGCGAUGCCGAGUGUGUGAUGAAGGCCUUCGGGUUGUAAGGCACGUUUGGUGGGAAUGAAAAGGAUUGGGCCAAUAACACGGUUCAAUGACGGUACCCGCAGAAUAAGCACCGGCUAACUACGUG